Molecule: ribosomal RNA, 446 nt
Filed under: uncultured bacterium
Lineage: Bacteria
Description: partial 16S ribosomal RNA
Rfam family: Bacterial small subunit ribosomal RNA
Source: RNAcentral
UCCAGACUCCUACGGGAGGCAGCAGUGGGGGAUAUUGCACAAUGGGGGGAACCCUGAUGCAGCGACGCCGCGUGAGUGAAGAAGUAUUUCGGUAUGUAAAGCUCUAUCAGCAGGAAAGAAAAUGACGGUACCUGACUAAGAAGCCCCGGCUAACUACGUGCCAGCAGCCGCGGUAAUACGUAGGGGGCAAGCGUUAUCCGGAUUUACUGGGUGUAAAGGGGGCGCAGACGGCAGCGCAAGCCAGGAGUGAAAGCCCGGGGCCCAACCCCGGGACUGCUCUUGGAACUGCGCGGCUGGAGUGCAGGAGGGGCAGGCGGAAUUCCUGGUGUAGCGGUGAAAUGCGUAGAUAUUAGGAGGAACACCAGUGGCGAAGGCGGCUUACUGGACUGUAACUGACGUUGAGGCUCGAAAGCGUGGGGAGCAAACAGGAUUAGAUACCCGCGUAC